Molecule: long non-coding RNA, 2674 nt
Filed under: Homo sapiens (human)
Lineage: Eukaryota; Metazoa; Chordata; Mammalia; Primates; Hominidae
Description: non-protein coding lnc-IRAK1BP1-3:3
Source: RNAcentral
AUUCAGCGGCGCUGGCUGGAGCUGAGAUGGAAGUUAGUUUCUAUGUAGCAGAAAUAUGAAACAAAUGAAGCAAAACUGCCCAGAGAGGGGAAAUGCCCCAAGGAUGGGUCUCACUCACGCGCGUACACAGACACACACGCAGAGAGCACUCUCACGCUGGGCAAGCUCGGGAUCGCGCUACCCUUCCCGAGUUGAAUGAUAGUGUUUGGUUUCUGUCUCUUGCCAUGUGCAUGUGUAUAAAUGCUGCGGAUUGGCAUCUGUGUAAGUCUUGUCCUGCGUUAUUUCUGCAGCCUAUGCAAGUGUUGUGUAAUUUAUUGGAGUGCUGUAUAUUGCAAUAGAGGUUUGGGCUGCUUUUUGUUAAGCACUUGCGUUUUGCAAACCCGUUAUUUGCUGAAGCCACCUCUGCAUAUUUCUUUUAUUACUGCCAUUGCCUUUGGCGUACGUUUUUUAAAUGUUUUUUAUUGUUAAACGGGCAAAGCGAACUCUUGAUUUGUACUUCAGAUACUCUUUUUCCUUAUUACAAAAAGGCUAGUGAUGGCUAAUUAGGUAUUUGGAAUUAAAGAACCUUAAAGCUUUUUUAAGUGUUUACGAGAAGGGAGAAUGUAAACCUGAGGGAAAGGAAAGGACGCUAAUAUUCAUGUCUAACUGAUCUGGAGGUAAUUUAGUGACAGAUCGAUAACCUGCCUAAGGAUAUUGAAAGAGUAUACUACAGUUUAGCCAAGUUAAUCACGGGAAGACUUCUUGAAAACUGACGAAAAGGAGAAAAAAAAAUCUUUCGUAAAUUAGUAUGUAAUUACCGAUUUUAUAUGCUAAAUCAUACAUCUGUGUUUUGCUGAUGAGGAUAAGGGCCUUGUUUUUAAAAAAACGAAUAUGGGUGAAAUUAAUGGAAACAAUAGAAAAAGCCAUUUGUUAGAAAACAAGGACACCAAAUGAUAUUUAUCUCCAGAUGAUUUAAGCACUUUCCAAAAAGACUUGAGAGUUCAAUAUUUUUUAAGGAUUGCAUUUUAAAGGGAAUUUGGAUAGUCGUUCUUUUGUUAACAUUUAACAAAAGAUUCUCCUUAAAAAUGUUAGAUAAUAAACUGCAUUUUAUGGGUCUGGUUUAAAAAGGUUAUUUGUGGGGAAAGGACCAACAAGCUGUAUUGUGGUUUUCUAGAUUGUUUCCUCAAGCCUUGUAACCUCCUAGCUCCUUACAUUCCUAGUGGGAAAUACUUGCUGCAAAUGCCUUGGGCUGCACUGUAAGCCCAAGUGUGCUGCACCAGUGUGAUGCCCUAUACUAAAACAUCCAGAAAUCAUCAUACAUAUGAGGAAGAAGAAAUAAAGCCUCAAACCCUUUGGAAUAAUAGGAUAUAAAAUUGCCUUUUGUAACUGAAUCUUAAAAAUGGAAGGUUACCAUGACUUGUCCUAUUGCAACCUGGUUAUCAGAAUAACUUAUUUUUUUUAAGAUAGCUAUUCUCAAAUACUGAACAUAUUUGCAUCUUUAAAGACACUUUAUUCUAUUCAAUUAUAGGUAAAGUAGCCUAUUUCUAGGUGGUUAGGCUUGAAAAGAUAGACUGAAAAGAUAGGAAAUUUUGUAUGCCUUUUUGCAAAUUGUAUUUACUUCUAAGACCGAUGCUGUUUUAGCUUAACUUUUAAAAAAGUGUUCUUCAAAUAAUUGUAAUAUUUUACACGAUCUUGAAGUUCUUCAAAUAAACAGAGUUUAGAAACUAAAAAUUAUAGUGGGAUUUUCUGGUUUUGAAGGCUUGGAAUGUAUGAUUCUUACUAAUAGAUGUUUUAUUCUUGUGAUUGAAAAUAAACCAAAUUAUGACAUGGAAUAUAAUAUUACUCUGGGUAAAGUUUGUGAUAUAUAUCUUCUGUGUGUUUUGUAAACAUAGAAAACUAGCAUGAUUAUCUCAUAUAUUCUUUUCAUUUAGAAGCCACAAAAGCUUUCACCUAAAUAUGCUACUAGUACUUAGCUCCUUAAAAAUUUUUUGGAAAAUCCCCCUCUAAGUUUUCUAAACAUGAUGUUCCUGUCAUUUUGAUUGAUUUUUGACAGUGUUUAUAUUUCUUUUUCAAAUGUCCAAUAUGCAGAUUGUUGUAACCUUCCCUUUGAACUAUUGUCUGUUAUAAGAAAAUAUACAUUACCUGCUAAAAAUUAAAACUUCCCUUCAGCCAAAUAAACUAUUUGUAUUUAACAGUGGAUAUUGAAUUGAAUUUUACUAAGUCCUUUAAAUGUAACAAAUACUCCAAAUAGCCCUUUUAAUUUUCUUAAACAUAAAAAACAUUUGUGAAUUAUAGCAUUGACAGUUAACUGUAAGAUUUAUUAAGUUGUUUAUUGUACUUGUUUAUGUACAAAGUCUGUAAAUAUCAAAUAGAAAGAAAAGUCUUAUUUGGAAGUUCUAGAUUUUAGUUCCCAAAGCAAUGAUCCUUGCAAUUUUUUGUUCAGCCAACUCUUUUGCAUAUAAGGAUAGUUCAGAUUCCAUCUAUAUCCUUUCCUGUUUGUUUAUUUUAACAUUUUUAUGGGUUUCCAAAAAUAAAAUAUCACUUUAAAAAGAUCUCCAUGCAGUUUAAAUAACAAGGUUAACAAAUAAUAGUAAAAGUUUGGAAAGCCAAGACCUAACGUUUUUACAUAAUAUAGUCUCUCUAGGAGAUAUAGAAACUUUUCUUGAAAUAUAAAAGUUUAUGUGAAAUUCAUCAC